Molecule: long non-coding RNA, 2314 nt
Filed under: Triticum aestivum (bread wheat)
Lineage: Eukaryota; Viridiplantae; Streptophyta; Magnoliopsida; Poales; Poaceae
Description: long non-coding RNA (TAES_LNC015923)
Source: RNAcentral
CUAUAACCUGUUUGGGUUCAUAUAUACCCUCCAAGUAAUCUUAACCUACGUGCAAGCACUUGUCCAGCUUUUUAUCAAUGAUGAUGAUGACAUCUUUUCCUAUUAAAUUGCAGAAUGCCCAUGCUGAAAAUAAUCUUCCAGUGCAACAAGGUGGUCCUGAACCAAGUUUAUGACUUCACCAAGUCCAUAAGAAGGUAAACAUAUGCUACAUAUCUAAAUGACAAUGAUUGUACAAGAGGUUGUCUAAUUUUGUAUGUAAGUGCAAGGUAAAUGACAUUAUGAAACACUAAUCCCAUUUUGACAAGCAUGUUUCAAAUACUGUCAUGACACCAAUAGCAGAUCAUAUGUCAGAUUCAACCAAGUACUAAAAAAUUGUAUUGCAUACAACAGUAACAUGAUUUUUCCCGAUGGAACCAAAAGUUAAGUCACACACAUAUCAUUGCUGCUCCAAGAGAUCUCGUAUUCAAAGAAACUAAUUAAUCACUUUUGAAUUGAUACAUGAGUACUAAUAAAACACCAACCUUGCAUACAUGUACUUUUUGGUGGAAACCUUGCAUAGAUGUUGAGGAACACCUGUCCCUUGAAUAUUAGGUGAACUCUCUUUUUAGUGUAUAAAUUAACAUGACGUGAACUUCAUUUGUUUGCAUGUUGCAUUCACGCUUAGUUUUCACAAUAAAUAUUUUCUUAAUAAGACCUUAAUCUAAUCUGAUAGCAAAGUGUGCAGACAGAAGGUACGUGUAGAAUAAAGCUCACUUACUGCAUGUAUCAGAACUCUUCAAAACUAUCAUUCUUUAUUAUAGUUGAUCAUGUGUCUCCCUUCACAUGUAUUCCUAUUUAAUUGUAGAAUGCUCAUGCUCAAAACAGCAAUGCACCAAGCUACAUGGUCAUCACCAAGUCACUAAGCAGGUACAUAUAGGCUCGAUGUCUAAAUGACAAUGAUUGUUUAAUAGAUAGUUGAUCUAAUUAUUUUUGAAAUUGUUCUUAUUUCUGUAAAAUGAAAUCUGCUCAGGUUCAUCAAUAACAAAAUUUUCAUUUCUUGAAAAAUAGGAUAAAGUUGAAGUCGUGUUGUAUUCGAUGAACUCGAGAAACAAAGACAAACUCGUGGCCAAUGGAACCUUAGUGAGUAAAGAGAAAACAUAUGUGGUUGGAGGAAACAUGCUUGGAGUGCAAUAUAUUGCAGUACUUAUUCGCGGCUGUAUAUAUCUAGGAGAUGAGAAACUAGUUAGACCAUAUGAAAAAUUGCAAACAGUAAGGGAUGCUAUGAGUUCUUUUAUUGCUUGGCCUCGCUCAUAUGUCAGUAUGCUUCCAUUCAAGCAUUGGGUAUGCUCCAAUAUGCACAUGUGUGAUGUGUUAUUUACCUGGAAUCUUUCUUUUUUUACGUAAAAAUAGUUAAGCCAACCCCUCCUGCACAACCACAAAGCAUUGGUAGGAUACAAUUCUUAUAAUUUUAUCAAAGAAUCUCUUAUCUUACACUUCUGUAUAAACAUAUGUUCAUGCAAAUGUUGUUCAUUCUCCUUUUCAGGGCAGUGAGGAUUUGAAAAGUGAGUGCAUAAAAAAAGCUAGGAGUGGCUGGGUACUUGAGGAUUUGAAAAGGGAGCGCACUGGAGGAGUCAGGAGUAGUUGAUGAAUAUUUCUUUGAAUGAACAAAAAUUCUAAAUUAUGUAUAGAUUGUAGCUUAAUAGAGAAAAAUAGUUCCAGUCUAUAGGAUCUUUUCUUAUUUAUUUUUCAUAUGAAUGUUUGAUGUUAUUCAGCUGUGAACUCCAAAUACUUUCAGUGGAGACAUUGUUCCUGCUAAUUAAUGCAUUGGAUGUUGUUACUGAGGUUGCCAAUGUUUGCAAAUGCAAUCUAUGACAUGGAAUGAUGCCUUCGUAUCACAAUAUUAUUUGACCAAUUUGCAUGCGCAGCCAUGACAUUAAAAAUGUUUGAAGUAAAAUAUUCCAUCUAUAAAGAUAUUCUUAUGUAUAUUUAGAGAUUAGUAUAAGAGGUGAAUGAAAUGGUAUAUUCAUAGACGAGUAUAAGAGGCGAACGAAACGUGUCUAUGAGUAGAGACGUAAUAUGAGCAUGCCUAACAUAACGUCUCUACAUGUAGACACGAUUUUUGAGCAUGCCUAACACAACAUCUCUAUAUGUAGACACGAUUUUGAACGUCCCUAAAAAGCGUCUCUUGCCAUGUAAGACACGCUUGCCAAGCGUGUCUAUCUAUUUAAGACGGUUCGUGGGGAGACGCUCCAAGGACGCUUUACUAAAACGGCUCUAUAGUUGGCUAGAGAUGAAAUAACACGUCGCUAGGUAUGAAAUUGGGCGUGUCUAUCGG